RNAcentral lists this non-coding RNA (28 nucleotides) under Mus musculus (house mouse). Lineage: Eukaryota; Metazoa; Chordata; Mammalia; Rodentia; Muridae. The record is from RNAcentral.
UAAAUAAGGGUGCCGCGGACCCCGCCUC